GAACGCUAGCUACAGGCUUAACACAUGCAAGUCGAGGGGAAACGAUAUUGGAAGCUUGCUUCUGAUAGGCGUCGACCGGCGCACGGGUGAGUAACGCGUAUCCAACCUGCCCAUCACUUGGGGAUAACCUUGCGAAAGUAAGACUAAUACCCAAUGACGUCUCUAGAAGACAUCUGAAAGAGAUUAAAGAUUUAUCGGUGAUGGAUGGGGAUGCGUCUGAUUAGCUUGUUGGCGGGGUAACGGCCCACCAAGGCGACGAUCAGUAGGGGGUUCUGAGAGGAAGGUCCCCCACAUUGGAACUGAGACACGGUCCAAACUCCUACGGGAGGCAGCAGUGAGGAAUAUUGGUCAAUGGACGAGAGUCUGAACCAGCCAAGUAGCGUGCAGGAUGACGGCCCUAUGGGUUGUAAACUGCUUUUAUAAGGGAAUAAAGUGGGAGUCGUGACUCUUUUUGCAUGUACCUUAUGAAUAAGGACCGGCUAAUUCCGUG
This 490-nucleotide ribosomal RNA is filed under the name uncultured bacterium. RNAcentral's name for it is "bacterial SSU rRNA". It matches the Rfam family "Bacterial small subunit ribosomal RNA", at positions 31 to 507 of the family's 1533-position model. The record is from RNAcentral.